GGGCUGUUAGCUCAGCUGGUAGAGCAGCGGACUCUUAAUCCGUAGGUCGAGUGUUCGAGUCACUCACAGCCCACCA
This 76-nucleotide transfer RNA is filed under the name Candidatus Kinetoplastidibacterium stringomonadis TCC290E. Its description in RNAcentral is "tRNA-Lys (CTT) (tRNA-Lys-CTT-1-1)". It matches the Rfam family "tRNA". From Rfam's summary of the family: Transfer RNA (tRNA) molecules are approximately 80 nucleotides in length. The record is from RNAcentral. Lineage: Bacteria; Pseudomonadati; Pseudomonadota; Betaproteobacteria.